CCCUCCCCCCAUCCCCGACCCCAUGACAGGCCCCAGUGUGUGAUGUUCCCCACCCUGUGUCCAAGUGUUCCCAUUGUUCAAUACCCACCUAUGAGUGAGAACAUGUGGUGUCUGGUUUUCUGUCCUUGCAACAGUUUGCUCAGAAUGAUGGUUUCCAGCUUAAUCUAUGUCCCUAUAAAGGACAUGAACUCAUCCUUUUUUAUGGCUGCAUAGUAUUCCAUGGUGUAUAUGUGCCACAUUUUCUUAAUCUAGUCUAUCAUUGAUGGACAUUUGGGUUGAUUCCAAGUCUCUGCUAUUGUGAAUAGUGCCACAAUAAACAUACGUGUGCAUGUGUCUUUACAGCAGCAUGAUUUAUAAUCCUUUGGGUAUAUACCCAGUAAUGGGAUGGCUGGGUCAAAUGGUAUUUCUAGUUCUAGAUCCUUGAGGAAUCACCACACUGUCUUCCACAAUGGUUGAACUAGUUUACAGUCCCACCAACAGUGUAAAAGUGUUCCUAUUUCUCUACAUCCUCUCCAGCAACUGUCGUUUCCUGACUUUUUAAUGAUUGCCAUUCUAACUGGUGUGAGAUGGUAUCUCAUUGUGGUUUUGAUUUGCAUUUCUCUGAUGGCCAGUGAUGAUGAGCCUACCUCCCUUUAUUUUUUGAGUUGGAGUCUUGCUUUGGCACCCAGGGUGGAAUGCAGUGGUGCAAUCCUGGCUCACUGCAAUGUCCGCCUCCCAGGUUCGAGUGAUUCUCCUGCUUCAGCCUCCUGAGUGGCUGGGAUUACAGGCACACGCCACCACACCUGGCUAAUUUUUGUAUUUUUAGUAGAGACAGGGUUUCACCGUGUUGCCCAGCUGGUCUCAAACUCCUGGCCUCAGGUGAUCUGCCUGCCUUGGCCUCCCAAAUGGCUGGGAUUACAGGCGUGAGCCACUGCACCUGGCCCAGACCCUUCAUCUCUACUCCCCUAGAAAACAAAAACUAUAAGCUGCCAUAGGGAAGUGGGGAGGGAUUACUGAGAAAGUUCUACCUCUGAGACCCAAGGACACAGGAAGCAUGAAGUAACAAGUAACUGCAGUUUUCCCAUUAGGAGGGGCAAGAGUGUGGGGAGAGCCCCUCGAGGUGUGAGUGCACAGAGAAGACCAGAAACUGAGGGUGAGGAAGAAAUAUUAAGAACGACCCUUGGGAGGUAAUUCCAGGGUUUUAGGAGGCUGAGGCAGGGAGAUUGCUUGAGGCCAGGAGUUCAAGAUCAGCCUGGGCAACAUGGCAAGGCCCAGUCCUGACAAAAAAAAUUUAAAAAUUAGCCAGGUGUGGUGAUGCACAGCUGUAGUCUCAGCUACUUGAGAGGCUAAAGUGGGAGGAUCAAUUGCUUGAACCCAGGAGUUGAAGGCUGCAGUGAGUUAUGAUUGCAACCACUGCACUCCAGCCUGGGUGACAGAGCAAGACGUUGUCUCAAAGAAAGAAGGAAGAAAGAAAAAAAGAAGGAAGGAAGGAAGGAAGUGUUAGAUAUGAGUUCUAAAUUUAUUUUCAAAGAAUCAAUAUGUCAGUAUGUUCAAUUCUUUACCUUCUACUUUUAAACUUAACUUCCUUAUAAAGCAACCUUUUUUGAUUACCUGCUCCACCCUGACUCAUUUCAAUCACCUGCUCCACCCUGACUCAUUCUGAUUACCUGCUCUGUCAUAACCAUUUUUCCUGCCAAAGCACUCACCCCGUUAUUAGCCAAUCAGAAUUAGUUUAGCCUGUGCGGUCUAACUCUACCAAUAGGGGAACAACACAGCAGCAGGGGCCAUGUGGGUCACGGAUAAGAACCCCUUCCCCUCCCUUGUCCAAGUGUGCGCUCACCAUUGCUCUAUCUGUAAGGGCGCACCCUUCUAUGGAAGUACCUUGCCUUGCUGAGAAUUAAAAGAAAAUUUUAUAUUUGAGUGCAAUUGGUUUUGCGGCACUGAAACUUUACAUAUAACAGGAGGAAGGAAAGAAGGGAUGGAGGGAGGG
Molecule: long non-coding RNA, 1969 nt
Filed under: Homo sapiens (human)
Lineage: Eukaryota; Metazoa; Chordata; Mammalia; Primates; Hominidae
Description: long non-coding RNA NONHSAT179622
Source: RNAcentral